AGAGUUUGAUCCUGGCUCAGGAUGAACGCUGGCGGCGUGCCUAAUACAUGCAAGUCGAACGAAACUUCUUUAUCACCGAGUGCUUGCACUCACCGAUAAAGAGUUGAGUGGCGAACGGGUGAGUAACACGUGGGCAACCUGCCCAAAAGAGGGGGAUAACACUUGGAAACAGGUGCUAAUACCGCAUAACCAUAGUUACCGCAUGGUAACUAUGUAAAAGGUGGCUAUGCUACCGCUUUUGGAUGGGCCCGCGGCGCAUUAGCUAGUUGGUGGGGUAAAGGCUUACCAAGGCAAUGAUGCGUAGCCGAACUGAGAGGUUGAUCGGCCACAUUGGGACUGAGACACGGCCCAAACUCCUACGGGAGGCAGCAGUAGGGAAUCUUCCACAAUGGGCGAAAGCCUGAUGGAGCAACGCCGCGUGGGUGAAGAAGGUCUUCGGAUCGUAAAACCCUGUUGUUAGAGAAGAAAGUGCGUGAGAGUAACUGUUCACGUUUCGACGGUAUCUAACCAGAAAGCCACGGCUAACUACGUGCCAGCAGCCGCGGUAAUACGUAGGUGGCAAGCGUUAUCCGGAUUUAUUGGGCGUAAAGGGAACGCAGGCGGUCUUUUAAGUCUGAUGUGAAAGCCUUCGGCUUAACCGGAGUAGUGCAUUGGAAACUGGGAGACUUGAGUGCAGAAGAGGAGAGUGGAACUCCAUGUGUAGCGGUGAAAUGCGUAGAUAUAUGGAAGAACACCAGUGGCGAAAGCGGCUCUCUGGUCUGUAACUGACGCUGAGGUUCGAAAGCGUGGGUAGCAAACAGGAUUAGAUACCCUGGUAGUCCACGCCGUAAACGAUGAAUGCUAAGUGUUGGAGGGUUUCCGCCCUUCAGUGCUGCAGCUAACGCAAUAAGCAUUCCGCCUGGGGAGUACGACCGCAAGGUUGAAACUCAAAGGAAUUGACGGGGGCCCGCACAAGCGGUGGAGCAUGUGGUUUAAUUCGAAGCAACGCGAAGAACCUUACCAGGUCUUGACAUCUUUUGCCAAUCCUAGAGAUAGGACUUUCCCUUCGGGGACAAAAUGACAGGUGGUGCAUGGUUGUCGUCAGCUCGUGUCGUGAGAUGUUGGGUUAAGUCCCGCAACGAGCGCAACCCUUAUUGUUAGUUGCCAGCAUUAAGUUGGGCACUCUAGCAAGACUGCCGGUGACAAACCGGAGGAAGGUGGGGAUGACGUCAAAUCAUCAUGCCCCUUAUGACCUGGGCUACACACGUGCUACAAUGGACGGUACAACGAGUCGCAAGACCGCGAGGUUUAGCAAAUCUCUUAAAGCCGUUCUCAGUUCGGAUUGUAGGCUGCAACUCGCCUACAUGAAGUCGGAAUCGCUAGUAAUCGCGGAUCAGCAUGCCGCGGUGAAUACGUUCCCGGGCCUUGUACACACCGCCCGUCACACCAUGAGAGUUUGUAACACCCAAAGCCGGUGGGGUAACCUUUUGGAGCCAGCCGUCUAAGGUGGGACAGAUGAUUAGGGUGAAGUCGUAACAAGGUAGCCGUAGGAGAACCUGCGGCUGGAACACCUCCUU
RNAcentral lists this ribosomal RNA (1556 nucleotides) under uncultured bacterium. RNAcentral's name for it is "partial 16S ribosomal RNA". It matches the Rfam family "Bacterial small subunit ribosomal RNA". The record is from RNAcentral.